CGGGGCGAGAGCAGAUGGACGUGCGUGUCCACGGCGCCCGCGGUGGCGAUGAGGCCCUCACCGGAGACGAUCGAGGUGCCGGUGCCCACGACGACGUCCACACCGUCGACCGUGUCGGGGUUGCCGGCCCGGCCGAUGGCGUGGAUGCGGCCUUCGCGGAUGCCGAUGGACGCCUUGCGGAUGCCCUGGACCGCGUCGAUCAGCACGACGUUGCUGAUGACCACGUCGCAGGU
RNAcentral lists this small RNA (233 nucleotides) under Streptomyces albus. RNAcentral describes it as "5' ureB small RNA". The record is from RNAcentral. Lineage: Bacteria; Bacillati; Actinomycetota; Actinomycetes; Kitasatosporales; Streptomycetaceae.